This is an RNA transcript of Neltuma alba, 3386 nucleotides long. RefSeq lists it as uncharacterized. The transcript has 2 exons. NCBI's taxonomy places the organism in Eukaryota, Viridiplantae, Streptophyta, Magnoliopsida, Fabales, Fabaceae. The record is from RefSeq and is a predicted model, not a curated record.
ACUAGACAUUCAGAUCUGGCAAGGUUAUAUGGCGUAUAGGGAAGUUAAUUUCAGUUCAUCACCUUUUUGGAUUCAAUUUCAUGAUUUACCUUUAGGGGCAAUGGAUGGGGGAAAUGCAGUGAAUUUGGGUUCAAUGAUUAGUAAGGUUGUUAUGAUAGUGGUUCCGAGAAGAAAUGGUUUGCUGGUGAGGAAUUUUUUGAGGGCAAGGGUCUUAGUUGAUCUGAACGAACCUUUAAUUACUGGUAUGUGGACCGAGAGGCCAAGGAAGGAUCCAAUAUGGGUUAAGGCGAGGUAUGAACGGUUGCAGCACUUUUGUUUUUGAUGUGGCAGAUUUGGUCACGAUCAGAGAAUUGUUUGGCUAAUAGAGAUGGUAGUGAUGAUGACAAGAAUGGGAAUUAUGGGAACUGGUUGAGUGUUCAGGCAGCCAGACCAAUUGAAUGUAUUUUGAAGUGUUAUAAGGAAGAUUGGGAAGAGUUCGUGGCAGACGGAAGGUAGAGAAAACAAGAGGAGAAGUCAAUUGAAAGUGCGACAGUGAGAGAAGCUGAGGUAAAUGAAAUUUAUAAGAACGAGAAAGGGAAGAUGCAGAUUGAGGAAAGAAAAAAGAAGGAAGGAGAGAGAAAGGGUUUAGAUUUGAAGUCUGUUUUGACUAGUGAAGAACAGAAAAUUGCUGAGAUUGAAAUAGUGGUGUUGGAUAAGGAAAAUAAAGGCGAUUUGACAAGAAAUAAAGAAAAAGAGGAAGUUAAUUCUGGUAUUUCAUCAGAACAGAGAGAGGAUUUAUCUAAAGCUAUAGUGGUGUAUGGUAAUGUCUCGCCAUUAACUGAAGUCACGAAGGGAUUGAACAGAAUUUUAGCGGAUGAGGAAGGGAUACAUUUUAAUAAAAGAAUAAAGCUGUGUUUUGAAGAGGGAGAUUGCUCUGGAAUCAAGAAUGAGUAGGUGGCAGAGAAGAAGGUAGGAAGAAGAAAUGUUAUAACUUUUAAGAAGAAGGGAAGAAGAUUAAAUGAAAGUGGGUCAGAUCGUUAAAAAGAGAUGAGCGGUGUGAGGGGGGAAAUACAAAUUUUGAAUAAAGAGACAGUAAAAAGGAUGAGUGAUCUUUUGGCCGAAGGUUUUGGUGGUUAGCCUUCAACAGCCACCAAUGCACCGUGAAGAUAAUUAGUUGGAAUUGUCAAGGCUUGGGAAGGGCCCUGACAAUGAAUAAACUGAGGGAGGAAAGUUUGAAAUUUAAGCCCUCAGUAAUCUUCCUAAUGAAGACAAGAUUAAAAGGAAGGAGGAUUGUUUCUCUUAGAAGAAAAUAUAGAGCAGAGUAGGAAUUUUAUGUAGAACCAAGAGGUAGGAGUGGUGGUUUGGCUUUGUCCUGGUCUAAUGAAGUAAUGAUUAAUGUUUGGUACUAUUCAAAAACCAUUAUUCAAGUGAGUUUGGAUUCUACAGUACUGAGAGUUCCCAAGUACAUCACCUUUGUGUAUGGUGCACCUACUGUUGAGGAAAAGAUGAAAGUUUGGGAUAAGAUGAGAAGUAUAGCAGCUCGCAUAAAUGAGGCAUGGCUUUGUUUAGGUGAUUUUAAUGAUGUAGCCUCAAGGUAAGAGAAGUUGGGUAGGUUUCCAGUAGAUACUUGAAGAUUAUUGAAUUUCCAAAAUAUGUUAGCGGAUUAUGAAUUGCUCGAUUUGGAGUUUCAGGGUGCAAAAUGUACAUGGAGUUAUAAGAGUUUGGGGAGUGAGAAUAUGAAGGCAAGAAUAGACUGAGCAGUAGCUAAUGCAGAUUUCAGAUUUAUGUUUCAGAGCAAUUUGGUUAGUCAUAUUGAGCCGGUGGGUUCUGACCAUCAGAUGCUUAUAGUUGAUUGUGAAUACAAGUAUAGAAGAGUGCCUAAAGUCUUCAGAUUUGAGUCUAUAUGGGCUGAACAUGAUGAUUUUUUAACAGUAGUAAGAAGAGGAUGGAGAAUGGAAGAAAGUACUUGGGGAACUAAAGUGCUGGAUGUGGUUUGCAGAUUAAAAAAUUGUCAGAAGAUGGUAGAGCAACUCACUUUGAAGCUGGUGGGAUGCAAUGAAGGAGUUAUGGAUGAAAUAAAAAAGGCAGAAGCAGAAAUGUUGCUUAAGCAGAUUGAAGAAGCAUGGGAUCGUGAGGAAAAAUUUUGGUGGCAGCACUUAAGAAUUAGUUGGCCCAAGAAUGGUGAUAGAAACACUAGUUUCUUCCAUUCGAGCACAAUUCAGAGAAGACUGAGGAAUAAAGUGGUAAAAUUGCAGAAUGAAAACAAUGAUUGGUUAGAAAAUGAGGAGGACAUUAAUGAUGCUUUUGUUGAGUUUUACACAGACCUUUUUGCCUCAGGUGGAAAGGGUAACAUGGAGGAGGUACUGAGGUACGAAAAAAUAUAUAACUGAGAAAGAUAACCUGGGACUUGAGAAAAUGAUUACUUCUGAUGAAGUUAAGUUAGCUGUAUUCCAAUUAAAUGGUGCGAAAGCACCAGGACUUGAUGGAUAUUCUGGUUGUUUCUAUCAUGCUGCAUGGAAUGAAGUGAAUGGGGAGAUUUUUCAGAUGGUACAUGAUUUUUUUCUUUAUAAUACCAGUUUGGCACCUAUAAAUAGUACUAAUAUAGUGCUGAUCCCUAAAGUUGAACAUGCAGAAAGGGUAGGCCAGUUUAGACUGAUAGGGCUUUGUAAUUUUUUGUGUACAAGAUUGUUUCAAAAAUCUUGUCUGAUCAAUUGAAGAAGUUGCUGAUGAGAAUUGUUUCAGAAAAUCAGAGGGCAUUUGUGGUAGAAAGGUUAAUUCAGGAUAAUAUUCUCAUUGCUCACAAGGGCCUUUCAUUAUUUGGAAAAUAAAAAGAAGGGGAUAAAGCUAGGGAUGGCACUGAAAAUUGACAUGAAUAUAGCACAUGACAGACUAGAAUGGCAUUUUAUUGAAGAGGUCAUGAGAAGGAUGGGGUUUGGGGAAAGGUGGAUUUAGUGGGUCAUGGAAUGUGUAUCUUCUGUAAAUUUGAAUUUAGUGGUGGCUGGAAAGAAGAUAGCAAAUCUGAAAAUGGAGAGGGGAAUUAGACAGGGAGACCCCCUAUCUCCAUAUUCAUAUUGACUUCUGAUAUGCUUUCAAGGAUGGUGCAAUGGCAUGCGGACAGAGGGAAGCUGAAAGGCGUCAAAUUAGCAAGGAAUGAAGCUGCUGAUCAUCUUGCAGCUGUUACUUUGAGAAGAAUGGUUCCGUCAAGUUGGUUAACUCAGCCACCAUCUUCUCUGUUGCUGGUUUUGCAAAGAGACCUCCGUAGUCUGGCAAUCUCUGGCAGGAAUAGGACUGGUGUGGGCUCAUUAGUUGGUUCUGAUUGUAUUUUUUAGCUGAUAUUGGCUAUUACAGGUUAUUGGUGAUUGUAGUUUUCCCUUUGAUUUUGAAAUAAAAUGACUUAUUAUUCAACU